AUUGAACGCUGGCGGCAUGCUUUACACAUGCCAGUCGAACGGUAACAGGCCUUCGGGUGCUGACGAGUGGCGAACGGGUGAGUAAUGCAUCGGAACGUGCCCAGAGGUGGGGGAUAACGCAGCGAAAGCUGUGCUAAUACCGCAUGUGAUCUGAGGAUGAAAGCGGGGGACCAGGCAGCAAUGUUUGGCCUCGCGCCUUUGGAGCGGCCGAUGUCAGAUUAGGUAGUUGGUGGGGUAAAGGCCUACCAAGCCGACGAUCUGUAGCUGGUCUGAGAGGACGACCAGCCACACUGGGACUGAGACACGGCCCAGACUCCUACGGGAGGCAGCAGUGGGGAAUUUUGGACAAUGGGCGCAAGCCUGAUCCAGCAAUGCCGCGUGCGGGAAGAAGGCCUUCGGGUUGUAAACCGCUUUUGUACGGAACGAAAAGGCUCUGGCCAAUACCUGGGGCUGAUGACGGUACCGUAAGAAUAAGCACCGGCUAACUACGUG
This 492-nucleotide ribosomal RNA is filed under the name uncultured bacterium. RNAcentral's name for it is "partial 16S ribosomal RNA". It matches the Rfam family "Bacterial small subunit ribosomal RNA", at positions 30 to 507 of the family's 1533-position model. The record is from RNAcentral.